Molecule: ribosomal RNA, 729 nt
Filed under: uncultured bacterium
Lineage: Bacteria
Description: bacterial SSU rRNA
Rfam family: Bacterial small subunit ribosomal RNA
Source: RNAcentral
UCGAACGGAGAGAGGGAGCUUGCUUCCUCAAUCGAGUGGCGAACGGGUGAGUAACGCGUGAGGACCUGCCUCAAAGAGGGGGACAACAGUUGGAAACGACUGCUAAUACCGCAUAAGCCGGCAUCGGAAAAGGAGCAAUCCGCUUUGAGAUGGCCUCGCGUCCGAUUAGCUAGUUGGUGAGGUAAUGGCCCACCAAGGCGACGAUCGAUAGCCGGACUGAGAGGUUGAACGGCCACAUUGGGACUGAGACACGGCCCAGACUCCUACGGGAGGCAGCAGUGGGGAAUAUUGCACAAUGGGGGAAACCCUGAUGCAGCGACGCCGCGUGGAGGAAGAAGGUCUUCGGAUUGUAAACUCCUGUUGUUGAGGAAGAUAAUGACGGUACUCAACAAGGAAGUGACGGCUAACUACGUGCCAGCAGCCGCGGUAAAACGUAGGUCACAAGCGUUGUCCGGAAUUACUGGGUGUAAAGGGAGCGCAGGCGGGAAGACAAGUUGGAAGUGAAAUCUAUGGGCUCAACCCAUAAACUGCUUUCAAAACUGUUUUUCUUGAGUAGUGCAGAGGUAGGCGGAAUUCCCGGUGUAGCGGUGGAAUGCGUAGAUAUCGGGAGGAACACCAGUGGCGAAGGCGGCCUACUGGGCACCAACUGACGCUGAGGCUCGAAAGUGUGGGUAGCAAACAGGAUUAGAUACCCUGGUAGUCCACACCGUAAACGAUGAUUACUAGGUG